Molecule: long non-coding RNA, 1932 nt
Organism: Drosophila elegans
Lineage: Eukaryota; Metazoa; Arthropoda; Insecta; Diptera; Drosophilidae
Exons: 2
Source: RefSeq, a predicted model, not a curated record
CGGCGUCAAAUGCGAAAACGAGGAAAAAUUUAAAAACAAGAAACAAUUAGUUAAAUUAAUAUGGAUCGCUUUUUAAAUCUGUGUAAACGUCGAGUAAAUGUCUUCAUCAAGUGCCGACAAGCCGGACUGUGAGUGCUCCUCCAGCACAGACUCUGAAAAAGAUUUGGAACCAAAUCGACAGAGUAACAAAAAGAAGUCGAAAAUUUCACGUGUUUGGAAAUAUUUUAAAAGGUCUGACGACAAGAAAUAUGCCAAAUGUCUCGAUUGUGGCGAAGAAUACAAGACAAGCGGCAAUACAUCUAACUUGCACGACCAUUUAAAAAGGUUCCAUCCUGGCGUGGAAAGAAAGAGCCCAGAAUCGAGCACACAAGUUGUACGUGCUGAGAGGAACGUCACUACAUCUACAAGCAGCAGUUGCAGAUCGAGCAUGAACUCUGUGGCGUCAUACUUUAAAAGAGCCGUCAUGUAUGAUUCAAAUUCUAAAAGAAAGACUGACAUAGAUAAAGCUCUAACUGAAAUGGUUGCCAAAGAUGUGCAGCCCUACAAUAUUGUAGAAAACGAAGGGUUCGUGCAAUACACUCAUGUAUUGGAUCCUUGGUAUAAAUUACCCAGCAAGACGCACUUAAGAGAUGUGCUGAUGUAUAAUUAUUUUACCGAAACUUCUGCCAAGUUAUCAGCAAUCCUUGUAAAUGUUUCGAAUAUCGCAGUUACGUGUGAUUUGUGGACAUCAAGUGCCAAUGCUAGUUUUUUGACUGUGACGGGUCAUUUCGUAUAUAACUACGAAUUAAAAACAGCAUCCUUAGCAACAAAAAAAACUUCUAAGCACAACUAAUCAUUGUUCACAAAACAUUGCUGAUACAUUGCGGGACAUUUUUAUUGAAUGGAACAUUCUGGAAAAAACUGUAUGUAUUGUUACCGACAAUGCCAGCUCCAUGCUUAAAGCAUGUGAUCUAUUGCAUAUUCGCAAUCUGCCAUGCUUUGCGCAUACUAUAAGUCUCGUGGUGCAAGAUGCCCUAAAAGUUGAUGACCCAGUGCUUCAAGCUUUAUUUACUAAGUGUAAAUCAAUCGUUCGAUUUUUCAAGCAAAACACUAUAUCAAAUGAAAAGCUCAAAUUAGCUCAAGAAGGCUCAGAAUAUACUUUGUUGCAAGAAACGCCCACUAGGUGGAAUAGUUUUAUUUUAUGAUUGAGCGUAUUAUAAAAAUGAACGAUGCCAUUGCCAAAGUUUUACAAUCAACAACGAAUGCACCGCAGCCAUUUACUGCUGAGGAAAUACUUAUGCUGAAAGAUAUUGAAAAACUUUAAACAAAAUAUUGAUGGAAUCAAUCAAGCAACGUCUUUCCGUAUAUGAGCAGAGAACAGUCUGCAGGAUGGCUACGCUUUUGGAUCCACGGUUCAAAAAAAGUGGAUUUCAACAUAGCUCAAACGCUGAACAAGCAGCAACAUGUUUUGAAAAUGAGCUGGCCAAUUUUCCAGUUAAAGAGACCGCAAGUAAUCAACCCGUAGCACCGGAUUCAAGUUUACUGGAUACUUUGUUCGAUUUUUUGGGUGAGCGUUCCAUGAAUAAAUUUGUAAACUCAAGAGUCGAUGCAAUUUUAACUAAGAAACAGUAUCUGGAAAGGGCAAUUGUCGGACAAGAUAUCGACCCUCUAUUAUGGAUGAAGGUAUGCCUUAAUUAAAAGUGCCGAGUUAUUAAUUGCAUAUAAUUAAGUAUAUUACUGUUUUCCAGGUGAAUCAAACUGAUUUCCCUGCCAUUGGGAGCCUUUUCGCCAAAUAUCUUUGCAUUCCGGCUACGUCCGUGGAGUCUGAAAGAACAUUCAGCAAGGCGGGCCAAAUAAUAUCGGAGAGGCGAACCCGGCUCAAAGAAAAAAAUGUUAACAUUCUUUUGUUUUUAAAUCGCAACUCUUGGCUGAAAUAAAGCAUAUUUUAUUGUA